CGGGGGGUAGCUCAGUCUGGUAGAGCUCACGGCUGGGGGCCGUGCGGUCGCAGGUUCGAAUCCUGUCCCCCCGACCA
Molecule: transfer RNA, 77 nt
Filed under: Magnetovibrio sp.
Lineage: Bacteria; Pseudomonadati; Pseudomonadota; Alphaproteobacteria; Rhodospirillales; Magnetovibrionaceae
Description: tRNA-Pro
Rfam family: tRNA
About the family: Transfer RNA (tRNA) molecules are approximately 80 nucleotides in length. Their secondary structure includes four short double-helical elements and three loops (D, anti-codon, and T loops).
Source: RNAcentral